Molecule: long non-coding RNA, 1352 nt
Organism: Triticum urartu
Lineage: Eukaryota; Viridiplantae; Streptophyta; Magnoliopsida; Poales; Poaceae
Source: RefSeq, a predicted model, not a curated record
AAUCCCAUGCCUUUGCUACUUCGAGUUGAUCCCGAAACCUUGCCGACAAUUCUUUCUCCAUUUGUUGAGGCUCCUCCGAAAAUCUUAACAUUUUUGGGCGCUUCAAAAAUCCCCCCUUGUUCAAACCAUUUGAAUUAAAUUCAAAUGCUUUUAAUUUGAAACUUUGCAAUCUUGCUCACUCCAAUUCUAGUUGUGGUGCUUUGAUAUAUGUCCUAGUAGCCCAUGCCAAAUUCCAGCUUGAUUCGAAUUUAUUUGACCCUUCAAAUAAAUUUGUAACCUUCCUUUUUUUCCCUUCUUGUGUUGGAAUUAAAAAAAAGAAAACAUUUCUUUUCUGUCAGGCCCCAACUCUUUUCUCUCUCCCUCCCCUUCUAUUCGUGGUAGCUAGCCCAGCAGACAGGCUGGCCCACCUAGGCCAUCCUCACAGGCCCACUCCCUCCUAACCCUACCCGAUCCCCUCCUCUCUCUCGUUUUUCCCCUUGCGCCGCCAGGAGAUAACGAGCGCGUUCCUCAUGCCCGAUCCCCACGCUGCUCUGCUUCAUCCCGUUCCCCUUUGCCCCCUCGAUGCCUCGCAGCUGCCGCCUCGUCUCGCAGGCCCGCCGUCGUCGUCCGCCGCUUCCCCGGCAUCCUCACUGUCGCUUCGCCCGAGCCCCACUCCCGGCGACCAGGCGCCCCUGCAGUCUCCCUCCUGCCCGCGUCGCCGCCUUCACCUCGCCAGGAGGCCGACGACCACCAACGCACCCCCCCCCCCCCCCCCCUGCGCACCUUCCAUUGCUCGCCUUCGAGCUCCCCUGUGCUCCGUCACCCCGCUGUUGCGAGGAAACGAUGGUCGCCUACCCUCCUCUCGUCUUCAGCUACAGGCGUGUUCGACGAGAUGAAUGCCUCGCCAGCAGAGCACCCCGGAGAUUGCCGUCACCGGGAAACACUAGGUCCGGCGACCCGUCGAUCCGCCAGGAUCCGCUCGCCACCUCGCCGACCCGCUGUUUCCCGCGCCUACCGACCCCGUCGCAAGCCCCUGGCGCCGCCUCCAUGCUUCAUCGGGACGCCUUGUUUCCUCUUCUGUUCGGCCACAAGUGCAUCGACCCUCGUACAGAGCACCGGGGCACUAGUUUCUUUUGUUUGCGGGUGCUUCGUUUGUUGCUUCAUGGAAACAUCGCCAAGUACCUCUAGGAUCGCUGUAUCGCCAAGACCGUCUCAAAUUAUGACAAGUACCACUACACCUGGAGAUGUAACGAGUAGAGGAAGACCCGAAUGUCUACGAAACAUGUACGACUGCCGUUGUUUUGGGUUCGAUAAGGUGCCGAGUAUCACUAUGUUUGCCAUAUACAUCUACACCAAGACCGGUUCGACAAGUA